GGCCUGGUGGUCUAGUAGUAUGAUUCCUUCUUAGGGCUUAAUUGCCUAAUUUGGAGGAGGUCCCGGGUUCAAUUCCCGGCCAGGCCC
This 87-nucleotide transfer RNA is filed under the name Irpex rosettiformis. Its description in RNAcentral is "tRNA-Pro". It matches the Rfam family "tRNA". Rfam says of the family: Transfer RNA (tRNA) molecules are approximately 80 nucleotides in length. Lineage: Eukaryota; Fungi; Basidiomycota; Agaricomycetes; Polyporales; Irpicaceae. The record is from RNAcentral.